GAUUCCCUGCUGUGUGCGAAGUAGGCUGUAUUUUUUGAGCCAACACCAAUACAAAGGGAGCACAGGCUCCGGCGGCGUAGAAUAUGCCCUUGUAAAUUUGGAGGGACAUUUGAAACCGUUGGGCUGGCACCCACCUGCGAGAGCAGGUUCAAAAAAUACGGUUGGAGACGGCACGGCGGGGGCUUG
Molecule: non-coding RNA, 186 nt
Filed under: Bacillota bacterium
Lineage: Bacteria; Bacillati; Bacillota
Description: Firmicutes bacterium (anaerobic digester metagenome) 6S RNA
Rfam family: 6S / SsrS RNA
About the family: E. coli 6S RNA was the first non coding RNA to be sequenced, but its function was unknown until recently. It consists of 184 nucleotides that fold into an extended hairpin structure with a large single-stranded internal bulge. The 6S RNA specifically associates with RNA polymerase holoenzyme containing the sigma70 specificity factor.
Source: RNAcentral